GGGAAUCUUGCGCAAUGGGCGAAAGCCUGACGCAGCCAUGCCGCGUGGAUGAUGAAGGUCUUAGGAUUGUAAAAUCCUUUCAGCGGGGACGAUAAUGACGGUACCCGCAGAAGAAGCCCCGGCUAACUUCGUGCCAGCAGCCGCGGUAAUACGAAGGGGGCUAGCGUUGCUCGGAUUUACUGGGCGUAAAGGGUGCGUAGGCGGACCGUUUAGUUGGGGGUGAAAGCCCGGGGCUCAACCUCGGAAUUGCCUUCAAUACUGGCGGUCUUGAGUAUGGAAGAGGUAAGUGGAACUCCGAGUGUAGAGGUGAAAUUCGUAGAUAUUCGGAAGAACACCGGUGGCGAAGGCGACUUACUGGUCCAUUACUGACGCUGAGGCACGAAAGCGUGGGGAGCAAACA
This 400-nucleotide ribosomal RNA is filed under the name uncultured bacterium. RNAcentral describes it as "bacterial SSU rRNA". It matches the Rfam family "Bacterial small subunit ribosomal RNA", at positions 357 to 774 of the family's 1533-position model. The record is from RNAcentral.